UAUAAAGUCUCCUUUUAACGCUGAGACUUGGGAUCACAAGAGUUUUACAGCUUAUGAAGUAUUUUUUUCUUCAACUGUUGCAAUACUAAGGGGAAAAAUCUUUGUAAGACUAUCCAUUGUUGCAUUUUUUUUGGUAACAGUUAAGAAUUCUGCGUCUUCGCUCAGGAGGGAGAGGUUAAAAGCAUUACGUUUUUCUUUAAUAAUCAGAUGGAAAUACCCCUUUGAGAGGCGCCACCUGGUGCUAUGGCCAUGAAAAACAGACACGGAAUCUUUCAGAGCUCACUACUGGCUGAAACACUUCUUCAGGUAGAUUUAAAAGGCGCCGGAAAUGCGACGCUGGUCUUUUUAAAGAGAGUGCAGGAAGCAAGGCCCCAGCGAGCGGACGGAAGGGCA
Molecule: long non-coding RNA, 393 nt
Organism: Pristis pectinata (smalltooth sawfish)
Lineage: Eukaryota; Metazoa; Chordata; Chondrichthyes; Rhinopristiformes; Pristidae
Exons: 3
Source: RefSeq, a predicted model, not a curated record